This 73-nucleotide transfer RNA is filed under the name Haplothismia exannulata. RNAcentral describes it as "tRNA-Met". It matches the Rfam family "tRNA". From Rfam's summary of the family: Transfer RNA (tRNA) molecules are approximately 80 nucleotides in length. Their secondary structure includes four short double-helical elements and three loops (D, anti-codon, and T loops). Lineage: Eukaryota; Viridiplantae; Streptophyta; Magnoliopsida; Dioscoreales; Burmanniaceae. The record is from RNAcentral.
CCCUGCUAAACUCAGUGGUUAGAGUAUUGUUUUCAUACGACAAGAGACAUUGGUUCGAAUCCAAUAGUAGGUU